CCUUCGGGUGGCAGCAGUGAGGAAUAUUGGUCAAUGGGCGCUAGCCUGAACCAGCCAAGUAGCGUGAAGGAUGACUGCCCAAUGGGUUGUAAACUUCUUUUAUAUGGGAAUAAAGUGCAGUAUGUAUACUGCUUUGCAUGUACCUUAUGAAUAAGGAUCGGCUAACUCCGUGCCAGCAGCCGCGGUAAUACGGAGGAUCCGAGCGUUAUCCGGAUUUAUUGGGUUUAAAGGGUGCGUAGGUGGAUUGUUAAGUCAGUUGUGAAAGCUUGCGGCUCAACCGUACAAUUGCAGUUGAUACUGGCAGUCUUGAGUACAGUUGAGGUAGGCGGAAUUCGUGGUGUAGCGGUGAAAUGCUUAGAUAUCACGAAGAACCCCGAUUGCGAAGGCAGCUUACUAAGCUGUGACUGACAUUGAUGCUCGAAAGUGUGGGUAUCAAACAGGAUUAGAUACCCUAGUAGUC
RNAcentral lists this ribosomal RNA (460 nucleotides) under uncultured bacterium. RNAcentral's name for it is "partial 16S ribosomal RNA". It matches the Rfam family "Bacterial small subunit ribosomal RNA", at positions 338 to 795 of the family's 1533-position model. The record is from RNAcentral.